This 20347-nucleotide long non-coding RNA is filed under the name Citrus sinensis (sweet orange). Its description in RNAcentral is "long non-coding RNA (CSIN_LNC000160)". Lineage: Eukaryota; Viridiplantae; Streptophyta; Magnoliopsida; Sapindales; Rutaceae. The record is from RNAcentral.
UUCUUUCUAAAGGUAUGGAUGCAAGACGUUAAAGCCAAAGCAGCAGAAAGUGAGGAAUUAAUCUUAUCUAAGUACAUUGCAGAAGGAGCCCUUCCUCAAGAACUGAGAGAAUCCUUUUAUGAAUUUCAGAAGCAUGUGGAAGAGUAUGUUUCUUCUGAAACUGUGGCUGCUCUCUCACUUUUGCCAAAUUCAUGUUCUUCUGCCAAAUCUAUCACCAUUACCGAAAUUGUUGCUCCUGUCAAUGCGAUAAAAAAGUGUAUGCUUCGGUAUGGAUUGAUUACAUCUGAAGGAUACCCCCGUGCAAAUUCUCUGCUCAUCUUACAAAACAACGGCCAAAUCAUUGACUGGUUUUCAGGAGUAGUUCACCGUUGGCUUACAUGGUAUAGAGAGUGUGACAACUUCAGUGAGAUAAAGCUUUUAAUUUCUAAUGAAGUUAGGAAAUCGUGUAUCCGUACUCUAGCUGCAAAGUAUCGAAUUCAUGAAAGUGAAAUAGGAAAGCAUUUUGAUUCAGAACUGAGCAGAAUUCCCUCUACACGGGAGAUAGAGCAUGAAAUGGCUUGUGCUUAUUGUCACUAGCAAGAAUGGUAAGCCAGUCCCGGCCUUGCAAUUGCUUUGUUUUUGGGUGCUCAGAAGCAGCACUCAGUGUUUAUUCUCUUCAUGUUAUGGAAAGGCAGAAAUUUCCAGGUUGGAAGACGGGGUUCUCAAGUUGCAUUCAUCCCAGCCUGAAUAAAAGGCGAAUUGGAUUGUGUAUGCGGCACCUAAAGGAUUUGUAUCUUGGCCAUAUAUCACUUAGUCAGUUGAUUUUAGUGCAUGGAAAUGAGGGGUUCCUGUCAGUUUGGAAUAUCACUCUAUUAUGUAGAAACCAUGGAACCUGCCAUCAAAGCUUUAAGUCGUCAAAAUACUUUGUAAAUAUGCACAAGGGAACAUAUGAUAUGAUAUUUUGCACUCUAGUUGCAUUUUUCUUGUAGAAUACAUGAAAAGCUUUUUGAGAAACUUUCUUUUCUGGUUCGUAUUCUUAUGGUUGUUAUAGGCAUUAAAAUGGUAUAUUUCUGAUCAAACGUCUUGACAAUUAAUUGUUGGUAGCAAAAAUAUUAGAGAUUAAAGAUAUUUGCACAUUUUGAAAUUCCAAAAAUAGUUUAAAUAGUGGGUACUCAAUUUGUAGCGAACAACGUUGGGGAUGUUUUCAGUAGUGUAAAAUGUUGAUAUUUACUCGAACUGCAUUGUUCAGCACACCUCCUAAAACGGUUCCAAAAGAGGACCAGUGGUUCAAAUGUUCAAUACCCAUAACAUCUAUGGGAGUUGCUAUGGAGUCGAAUGUGGUUGAUUGCAUUCAACGAGCUUUAGAAAAUAUCCGCAAUAGGAAUCAGAACAGAUUUAAGUUCAUGCUUCUAUCCCAUUGGUAAUUCCGCGAAAGGAUUCAUGGCCUGUAAUGCAGUCUAAUUAUGUUGCUUUCUAUCUAAUUUCUCUAUUCCAUGAGCUUAGAAGGUUUAGUUUGAAACUUGAAAAGUAAUCUGAAGCUGCAUGGCCUUGACAGUGAACAGCUAUUCUGCUUCUCCCUUGUUCUGAUUGGGUACUAAUUGAUUUAUCAGUUGAAGUUAAUGGUUUCUCUGUUUGAUUUUUCUACUUUUAUCUCCUAAUAUUCUCUAGGAUAACCUAAUCCAGAUAUGAGUGUUCAAAUGUCUCCCUGUGGUUUCACAAGCAUGUUCAUAUGAUAUUUGCUAUGAUUUUCUGAUUAAGGAGUCGAUUGAGUACUGUUUUAGUUAAUUACUUCACUUUUCCUUAAGAAGUUGAACUUACAGUUAAUGCCUCGGCAAGGGCAAAAGAUGUCAGCAAUUAAGAGUGAAAAUGUUUACUCUUACAUUGAUUUCCCUGUACAUCAUUAUUUUCCAAAGAAGAUCUGAAAAAUACGAGAAAUACAAGGAUUAGACGAUUUAUGUGUUACCGAUAAGAAAAUCAAAUUCAAAUCCAUCAAUAGCUCGUCGGAGAUCGGGCGUAGCCAAAGUAAAGACCAAAAAUAGAAACCAAAAAGUAUGGGCGGGAGGCAUAACUAGAACCACUCUAAAGGAUAAAAUUGUAAUAUGAGAAGUUUUAAAAAAAAAAUAAAUUGGCGUGUUUUUACACAAAAUUAACGGUGAAAAUACAGCCACUCAUAUUUAUUUAUAAUAUAGAAGAAUUUCAAAUUAUUGAAUAAAAAUUGCGGGCUCGCUGUACUUGAGAGCUCAUGUAAUAUAGUACCAAUGUUUCAUCAUGAGCUCGUAAUAUAGAGCUACGAGGGACCACUGUCCAUAUAUUACUCAAAAAUAACACCAGAACCCAUUUGUCUGCCCUCAGUUUUUUCCAUGCACCAAAAACUAAGAGCUCCCCGCGAGCUUGCAGUUUCAGGCAAAUAGAUGGAAGAGACAAUAGAUCAUCACUAAUGAUCACCAGCAUCAAAAGAAAUUUUGACCAUACUGACGAAUUAUGUACAUGGUGUUGAUUGUUUAAGAGGGCCACAGGGAAGAAGAAAGAGAGGAAUUUUCCCUGCAAAAUUUAACCCCAUGUCAAUAAUAUUGGGCAUUAACUUGAGAGGCAAUCUUGCAUAAUACCGUAUAAUACUAUAAUUCUUGUGGAGAAUGAUUACAUGACUGAAUUUCUCUUUCGAAUAAAUUCUAAAAUACAUCUGAUGUAUUACAACCAAUUGAUGUAUGUAUGACAUGUGUAAUUAAAUUUAAGAAAAUUAUCAGCCAUAUACUCUUAAAUGACACAAGUAUCAAAUGUGCUACAACACUUUUCAAGUAUAUCACUCGUAUAUCCUAAGUUGACAAAACACUUCUGCCAAUCCACUAAUCGACAUUGACAGCCUGUCCGUCUAAUUUGUGACUGUAUAUAUUUCAUCUCAUUAUUCAGAUCUAUCGUCUGGGUCCCAAUACUUCCACUUUUCUCAACUAAUUACAUAAUUUGUUCACUUCUAAUGCAUAGAUCCGUGACUCUAUUGGGCUUACAUCAAAUAGACAAAUGUAAAUUUCAAGUUGGGGUUAAAGAAUUUUGAACGUAACUAAUUGAAUUGGUCCGACUUCAGAAAAAUGCCCACUCCCUUGGAGUUGGGAAUAUAUUUUUAAUUAUAUUGAUUAAAAAUUAAAAAUUGAUGUCAUAGUAACAUAAUUUGUUGUUUUUCAAUAAGAUAUUAUCAAAGGUAUUAAUUUUUUAACGUCAAUUAAAUAAAACUGUUUAAAAAUCAUUCGACUGAACUUCAGAGAGAAACAAAAGUAUUUUUUUUUUCUUCAAAUAAAUAAAGAAUAGAAAAACAAAAACAUGGUGAGCCAAAAUAACAAAAGGUAUAGAAGCAACAAAAAUCAAAUCAAUUUCUUAACUCUACCUCUUAAAGAUUACUUGGCUAAGCUAUGGGACAAGAUAGGGCCUAUCUAAUAAAGAUUGAGUAUUUUUUGCUUUAUUUGAGAAAAUGUAAAAAUUCAGGGCCCACCUCUUAAAACACACUGUGAAGAAGAUAAAAACAGAACCUAAGAGAACUAUAGCAAACAGAAGAUCUGUCAUUCAAAAGAACAUACUUCUUUUAAAAAGAAAGAAAUAAGCCAGAAGACAAUGAAGGAGUUUAUUCUUUGCUUCAUGAUAUCAAAGGUUUACAUGACCCUUGUAAUAUAUACAGAGUAAACAUAUGUUCUGGAAUCGCCUAUAGGAGUGACCUUUGGCUGUAGAUACAAUAUUUGCUUGGCUGGACUGAUUCGAAGUUCCUGGAAGUAAUUCAGAAUUUGCUGUAUUAAGGUUGACUGAAGAUAUGGCACGUUUCUGUAUUGUAUGGACUUGGUAGUUAGAUGGAGAAUCUGCUGAGAGGGAUCCUUUUGGCAAAAGCCGCACAAUUUGCCACGUUUGAUUCUGAUGGCCGUGUGCUUGCUUGCUUUCUGUCGUGUAGACAUACGUAUCAGUUCCUGCACUACUUUUCACCUUAACAAGUUCUUCACUUGUCAUUCUCAGGGGCCAAUCCCUCAGAAUUUUCUCAAGCUUCGACAGUGGAAUUACAACGCUUCUGAAGGAAGAAGCCCAGAAAAAGUCUCCACGUUAACCAUAUCCAUUAAGCAAUCAUACAAACAAAUCCGGAAUUACACAACGAAUUAACAAUCCUCUCUCCUCCAGCAAGAAGAACAAAUUCUAAGAUGAUGGGAGCAGCCAAAAAAGUGUGUUAUGCAAGACAACGGUGCUACUGCAUCCAAUGAAAAUUGCUGAAUCGUACAAACACAAAUACCCAUCACAACAAGAGUGGGACUGUCAAAGCUUGAGAACAUUCCGAGGUAUACGAUUGCUGGAGACCGCGUCACCAAUGACAUUGACUUUAUAGAUCUCCUUGGAGCUGAAAGUUUUAAGGGCUGUGAGAAUCUCGCCAGCAUUUUUUCCCGGGUAAACAUAGCUCACAAUUGAUGUUGGCUGUGCAUCACGCAAAUCAUCAUAGUCACCCAAUACAACCAGUCACUUCCAGCCCCCAAGGUGGUCGGGGGGCACACAGUAGUGUAAGCUUGUGCAGAAGAGACAGCUCCAUUUGCCACGACUGCAAACACCAGCGUCAUUAAUGCAAUAUCAGAUUUCAUACUUACAAAGUUGUGCUUGAUUGAAAUCAAAUAUUAAUAUGAGUAUUGCAAUAUUUUCUCUGUAUUGAACUUUACUGAAACCAAAUAAUCAGUAAAUUUGAAAUGCCUCUGUUGCAAAAUUGAUAUUUCUAAAAAAUCUUUCCUUGAUCUAAUCCAUGAUUAAAAACAGCAGCCGCUUCCAAAUGAUGUCAUGCCAUAGAAUUUUUUGUUAUUUAAACUUCGAAGAUUACAAAUAACAAAUAACAAAUAACAAAUAAAUUAAAGAAGGGAAGAGAAAAAAAAUUACCUGUGAAUCACUGGUCAUGGCUGAUGUAAUAACAUAUUCACCAUUAAUUUUGAUGCUACGAAUUUGACAGAUUGUUGAGUCCUCUCAUAGUCUUCUCUGUCUUUUUCGAAAUGUUCUUCUAAAACAAGACAGAAGUCAAUAGCCAGAUCCUCCGAUGUGCUACAAAGAAGUUGUUCUGGCAGCAUCUGUUGAUGCUGAAAUCUGGUCUCCCUUUGCCCGACCAAAUUGGCUCACCAACGGUUGUACUGACAACGACGGGAAUACUGCACUCCACAAGCUUUCGCAAUUGCACAAACCUCAGAAACUCUAAUCAACUUUCCUCCUCCUUCGUGACCCUGUGCUCACAGAAACAAAUCAACAGCAUCAUCAAUUUGCUAAACUGUAUAUUUUCGAGGAACUGAGAUGAGGCAUGAUUGUAAUGUAGAAAUAUGAAGCCCAAAAGAGUUCACAAUAAGUUUAACUGACUACAUUCUGUACCAAUGGGAAAUCAUAUACUUCCGAAAAAACAGAUUGCCUCUCUCCUUUGGCACUCUGCCACUUAUAUUGUGCUACAUAAAAUCCCUGGCAACAAAACACAUAUCGAGGAAGAACAAUAAAUGAUAGCUCAGUGAUUGAAAUGGUUGAACGUUGAAGAUUUUCAAAUGCACAUCAAUUGUAUUUCUAGAUGACUUACUGAAAAUAUUGUCACACUGGAGAGCUGCCCAAGUUCCUCCUUAUAGCCAAAUCAAUCAGCCUUGCAACACAAAAGCCUAAGUUAACAAGACUGAAGCACAAUCUCAUGCCACUCUACAAAUCUUCAACUGAACCUACGAAGGUAAUUAAGAGAAAGAUCAAUAAAUUUAAGAACCUGGAAACCCAGUCAUGCUUAUUGUGAUACUGAAUUCAGAAAAUUGGGCAUGUAUCACGAUGAAAUUUCCUAGACAAGUUACAGCGACCAAAAAUGGUAUCCGAACUUGUUAGUCUUUUAUACACCUUCUGAAUUAUGUGACCACAUCAUAUCUGCCAAUAUUGUCUUGCAUCAGUGCUAAUGAAUACACUGCGGCAAGGACUAGUUCUCAUAACCAUGCUUCAGGAAAAACAAAGGACAGAAUAGUAGUUGUUACAUAAGAUGCUUUUAAGGAAUGGCGACGUACAGAAUCUUCAGCGUUGACAUCUUAGGAAACUCUGGUGCAAGAUAUCCUGAUAAGUUGCGAUCGUCCAGCACUUUGCAAAUUUUGAGAAUUAUAUGAUCAGUACAGCUGUUAGAUGCAUGUGAAAAAACAGAGGAUUCUCCAGUUCAACUUUAUUAAAGAGAACAACAGCAAUAAAUUUCUGUUCAACUCACAAGUGUUGAAGCUUAGGUAAUGCUGAAAUCUGUAUUUGAAUUUGACAAAUGAUCGAAUUGUUGUUCAUGUGACUGCAGUUAAAAGAAAACAUCUGCAAAUGCAUCAAAAAUAGUAUAAAAAUAGUUUCUUUCCAACAAAGAAAGAACAUUUGACUAACUCAGAAGUGCUUGGAGUGGAUCAAUUUGCAAAUGUUUUAGGCAGUGAUAGUUGGUUUCCACUCAAUAACUAGUAAAAGAAGAAUAGUAUUUCAAAUGUUAGUUUUCAUACUGGCUUCACCAGCCAAAAUUAACGCAACCAACCACUGGCCUAAAGUAGAAACAAUACUCAAUAUUGUAUUAAGCAACACUUAAAAGAAUAUUAAUUGAAUGAGCUUCAAUUGACAAAUGAAUAUUUGACAUCAACUCUAAACUAUGAAAUUUUAACUUACAGGAGCUUCAGAUAUAGCAUUGUAAGCUUGUUCAGAGCAGGAGACAGCUCCAUUUGUCACGACUGCAAACACCAACAAUAUUAAUGCAAUGUCAGAUUUGAUAUUUAUAGUUCUUGAAGGUCAUGACAGCUCAGACUUAACAAGAAAACAGAACUGUAUUGAAAUCAAAUAAUCCAUAGCACUGGAAGGUCUCUGUUUCCAAAUCAAUAUUUCUGAAGAUCUUUCCUUAAUCUAAACCAUGAUUAAAAACAGCAGCGGCUUCCGAGCUAUAUCAUGCCAUUGAAUUUAUUGUUAUAUAUACAUGUGUCAAGAAUGUUUGUGUUAGAGAUUAUUUCAAAUCAUCUGAAAAUAUCAUGUCUUAAAAACAAAAAGAAAAAUCUCAAUCAUCGUAAGACAGAGCAGAGAGCUGAGGAUAAAAGCCGUACCGUAACUCAAAAAGUAACAAAUCAGAAACUUCUUCUCCUCGCAAGCCGGCCACAAAGCACAAUCAUGUGUGGCGCAAACCACUACAGCUGCCGUGACAAGAUGUUGGUCGUUUUUAAGAUCAUUUCUCUCUUGAAAAUUUGCUAGCAAACCUGAAAUGAUACAAAACUAAGCAUCAUAAUAAAAAUAAGUAUCAAUAAAAUUUUCCCACAACACAUAACUUGUCCAUAUUUCACAUGUAAACAUCAUACAUGCAUGAAUCAGUCAAGAAAAGCAAGUCUUGCUUGGUGUGAUCCCAGAUUUGGACAAAAUUGGGCAUCCUUGAGAACAUUUCUGCUUAAAGCGGAAAAAACCUGUAGAAUGAUUAACCAAGCAAUAUAGAAAUAUUGGGCCCAAAAGAUUUCGGCAAUAAUUUUAGUUAAUUACAUUCUGUACCAAUGGGAAAGCUAUAUACUUCCCAGAAGGCAGAUUGCCAACUGCUUAUCAUGGGUCAAGUUUGCAAAUGUUUGAGGUAGCACCAGUUGGUUUCCACUCGACAGCCUACAAAAGAAGAACAGUACAACCUGUUAAAUGUUUCUUACUGGCUUCACCAUCCAAAUUAAACACAACCUGCCAAGCACCACCCUAAAUUACAAAUUAACAAAAUGCAUUGUGUAUUAAGCAUUCCAUAAGAGAUAAUUAAUUACACCUUAAGCAUUCCAUGAAUCCUAACUGAGGGAGCUCCAAACAGAGCAGAUUGCGCAUCUCUUUUAGUAUUCUGCCGCUUAUAUUGUUCCACAUAAAGUACCUGCAGACAAAAUACAUAUCAAGGAAAAACAAUAAAUGGUCGAAUUUUUUCAAUGCAGAACAAUUGUGUUUCUAUAUGACUUACUCAAACCAUAGACCUGCCCAAGUUCAGGAAUCAGGAGCCAGCUUUCCAAAAAUUAGCAACCAAAAAUAUAUUAGUCCAUGAGAAUCCAUGAUCUAUUUGAUCAGUGCAAAGUUAAGAGAACCGCUGACAAUUCAAAACAUGAAUUAUACAAAAAAAAAAAAAACAAUUGCUAGCUUAUUAACAAAAAAUAUUAAUUAAAGAAGCAAGAGAAGAAAAUACCGGUGGGCUAGGUAAAUGGUAGCUCAUUGCUGCUGUCAUCGAGAUCAACGAGAAGGGCCUCCUUGUUCAUAUCUACGAGAAAUUAGGAUGUUUGGAAUGUGGGAGAUCUUUGACCAGUCCUUUCCUGUGUCUUUUUUGAAAUUUUCUUCGACAAUAGGCACCGCAUCAAUCUCUAGUGACUCCAGUGUCGUGCUCCGAAGAAGUUGGUCCGGCAGCGAUUUCAAUUUCAUACAAUAGCGAAGGGUAAAGGACUUUAUUUUUGGCAUGAUUGUAAUAUCUUCUUUUACAAAAUCCCACUCUUCCAGUUCAUCCAUACUCCUUAACGUGAGUUGUUCUAGUUUAGGGAAGGCAACAAUUGAUGAAGAUAAAGAUGAUGAAAAGGUGCCAUGAAUAUGAUUAUGAUCGCGAAUCUCUAUUCCUAAAAAUUCAUCACCCACUUUUUUCACACUAUUCACUGACCUUACCGUGAGUAUUUCAAGGGACGGCAAUUUUCCUAAAGGAGGCAUAAUCUCACAUCUAGGGAAGAAUUUGAGAUUUAACCUCUUCAGCUUGUCUAAUGACACUGUCCAAUUACAGGAAAAUAUCAGCCUCCUGCCUUCGAAGCCCGUUAUUUUUAACGACUCUAUAUUUGGAGGUGCCCGUAAGGCUUCACAAAUUGCUUCUUGCUUUGCUUCAUUUUCCUCAUUCAUCCACAUUGGCGCUUCUUCAUAAUCUUCAUCUUCUCUUUUAGUAAAAUCCAAAAUCAAACAAACGAGAUUCUUCUUUUUCUCAAGAUGUGCAUUUUUAGCCUCAUCAGCAUCUGUCACAUUCCCUAGCCCACAAAUUCGAAGAAACCCUCUAAGGUGAUUCAAGUUUCCCAGACCUUCGAGAUUACAAGCUUUACUACUAUAUUCGCCAUCAACCCUUGCAACAGUAAACCCACUCAAUGUCCUAAGACCUGUUAAUCUCUCAAAUCCAUUUGGCACGUAAUCUACCCCGAACUCAUCAAAAAUUAAAUGCCUCAGAUUGAUUAAUUUUCCUAUUCCUUGAGGUAAUCUUAUCAAACUGAGACAAUCUAAGGUUUGCAGAUUUAAUAGCUCACAACAUGUCUCAGGUAAUUCUUCUACGCUAGACAACUGAAGAUAUCUUAAAUGUAUCAAAUUUUCUAGCCCUCUAGGAAUUUCAAUUGUUUUAUCUCCCAACGUCAAAUCCUCUAUUUUCAAUGCCCUCAAACAUGUCAGUUGAUCAAAUAACCCUUGUAGGCCUCGUGACGCGGCCAAUUCACCUUGGCAAUCAUAAAAUAAAAUUAGGCCCCGUAACUUUUUGGCAUCCAAUAUGGAAACGGGAAACUUAGCCCGGAGGCCAAGCGUCAGCGUCAAAUGACGAAGUUUCUCCUGACAAGUACUUGUUAACGACAAGGGGUUUUCAUCACCAUCAACUUCUAUUGCAGCAAAUUCCUUUCUAGUGAGAUAUUGUGCAAAAUCAUGCACUAUAUCAUGCAUUUUACAUGUUACAAUACCCUCUUCGUCUUCAUCAAAGUCCUGGAAGAAAGACCGCGAGGCUAAGAAAUCAAAAUACCACCCACCAGUCAUCUCCAUUUCUAUAUUUCCCUUUUUCUCAAUAUAACCUUGAGCCAUCCAUAAUCUAACCAAUUCAUCUUUAUCUAGAUCGUAGUCUUUUGGAAAGACCACACAAUACAAGAAACAUAGUUUUAUUUCAGGUGGCAAAUCGUUAUAACUUAGUUGCAGAGGGGCUAAAAGGUUUUUUUCAAAAUCUUCUAGCUGCCACAUCUCACUAUUUAAUAUUAGUUGCCACUCUUCUCUGGUUUUUUUGAACCGCAAUAGACUCCCUAUUGUUUUGGCUGCAAGUGGCAAGCCUUUACACUUGCCAACAAUUUUCCUACCAAUUUCUUCUAAUUGUUCACAAUCAGUAGGAGAUCUACCGGAAAAAGCAAAUCUUUUGAACAAUGACCAACAUUCGUGUUCAGACAGUUCUUUGAUAGAGAUAACAUCAGUCGACUCCAUCAUUCGAGCAACUGUCUCCUUACGGGUGGUAACCAAAAUCCUACUUCCACAAAGUCCAUUCAUUAGACAAUUAUGGAAUGGUUCCCAUUUACUGUAAUCAUCUGUCCAUACAUCAUCUAAGAUGAGAAAAAACUUUUUUCCCUUAAUAGAUGUAUGUAUGUACUCCAAAAGUGAAUUCAAUUCACCUAAAUUUGGGAGAGAACCUUCUAAACCCUCAAUGAUUGCUUUCGCAAUCCUAAACUCAUCAAAUGGGUCUGAAACACAUACCCAUAUUCUUUUGUCAAAGUUUUCUAUCACAUCUUUGUCAUUGUAUGCAAAUUGAGCAAGAGUGGUCUUGCCAAUCCCACCCAUCCCUACCAGAGAGAUGAUUUGGACGGCAUUUUGCUGCUCAUUGCUCUCGCAUAACAACUUGCUCUUUAAAGUAUUCUUCUCCUCAUCUCGACCACGUACAUCAGAAACAUUAAUUAUGGCAGUACUAUGUAUCCGCUCAGAUUUCUCAGUACUACCUCUAAUGACAUUAAAGUUAAACACAUCUUUUUGUUUUGCAAUAUCAUCCAAAUUUUCAUUUAUCUCAAUUAUCUUCUGAGCAAUAUCCCGACGCAAAACAACUUUUUUGAAACCAAUGCAGCAGGAGAGAAAGAAGGAACAUACCGGCUUCUUACGAACAAGAGCAUUCUCAUCAACACCUUCGAUUUGCAAUUUGAGCCUGGCAGUGAUCCACUCAUCCAGCACAUCUUCCAUGUCGUAGGAUGCCUCUUUGAGCUGAUCCAGCCAGAGUCUGACACUUUCUUCCUUCACUUGCCUUUGCUCUGCAUCAUUCAGCACAGCUUGAAUAGCUCGAAGAUUGCUGGUGAGCUUUUUGACUUGUUUCCCAACACCGGCAACAAGCCUGACCUGUUGUUUUGCCUCUUCAUAAGAGAUUGAAAUCAGCUGCUCCAAGAGAGGGGACACAAUUGCAUCAACCAUUGUGAAGCCUGAGUUUAAUUAGACGGAAACUGUAGGAUGCCUCUUUUGUUUGUGUUUAUGUUGUGAAAUGAAAUGCUACCAAGACCAUUGUUCUAGUUCUUAAUAUACUAGUAAAUUAACGAAUAUUUCACGUAAUACGCAAAGUGAAAAUUUAGAAAAGAAAGAAAAGUCUGUAAAGUAAUUGAUAUAACUAGAAUUGGUAUAUAUGCCCUGCCGCAGGCUUUAAAACAAAGCUAAGAAUUUUAAUUCGCAUAGCGCUUGCAUCAACCAUCGUGAAUUGCGAGUUUAAAGAUUGACAAAGUGGAAUUACGUGUUUGUGUUGUGAAAAUGCUGCCAAAGACCAUCCUUCCUGUUCUUAUUGUACAAGCUAAUUAACGAACAUUUCGCGUCACACGCAAAGUGAAAAUGAAAAUAAAUUGAUUUAUUUUAUUAGAAUUGGUGGCACAGGCUUAGAAGCAAAGUUAAGAAUUUUAAUUCAGUAGAUACCAAACGUCGUAAUAAAUAAUUCGCUUGUGCUUAGCUUGCUUUAUUAAAUUUCUUUUGGAUUCGCUUUUACGAUCUAUUUGUUUACAAUUUCUUGGAUUAGAAGCAUACAAAAUCUAUUAAUUAAAGCAUCAAAGAGGCUUUAAUUAAUUGAGAAAUCAUUAAUUUAUUAAUGACAGAGUCUCUUUAGUGAAGUCAAUAUAUAUUACUUGCUCCCUAUUAUUUUCACAAUAUCUAAAACCGUCCUUGGCAUAAAAAAUUUAAGGGAAAAAGUCGGUAAAUGAGUCAUUUGUUUGAUAUUUAUGUUGGUAAUAUAAAAAAAAGUACAAGAAAAUAUCUUAUGGUUAAUUUUUUAUUCACAAUAAAACUUAUGUUUCUUAUUUUUAGUAUUUAAAUAUUUUAUUUUUAUUUUUAUUCAUAAUCAAUAUGAAUAAUAAAAGUGUAUUUGAAUAAUAUAAAGGGAUGAUAUUUCUUCCCCACAUAAACCAACACAAACCACGUGUAAAUAAAUCCCACUGAAAUAUUUAAAUUAAAGUUAUUUUGUUAAAUAACACAGCUAAAUUCCAAAACUACCCUAUACCUUUGUUUCUGCAUAAAAUUCUUUUCUAAUUAAUUAGAAGAGAAAGAAAAACUAUGUACUAUUAAAAAAACUUUUAAAAUCAUAUUUAUGAAACUUAAUUUCAUUUCCAUUAUUUGUCUUUAUUCGAAAAAGUUGAUUUACCGAAUUGUGCCGAAACGGUUCGCCCGUGUUUGACUUCCAGCAAUGGAAUGCUCAUUUUAUCAUCAUUCAUUCCUAACUUUCAUCGUAACCGCUAGAUUUUGUUAUGAGAAUUUCAAUUUUCAAUGUGAAGUCGUACUAAAUUUUCAAUCUAUGCAUGUUGGUUUUUCAAGGGAAAAAUGAAUAAGAAACUCUUUGACCGUUGCCUUGUUGGUCGUUUUUCCACAAAUAUACCUCCUAUUUUAUCAACAUCAUUAUUUUCCAAACUAGAUCUGAAAAAUACGAGAAAUACGAGGAUAUUAGACGAUUUAUGCGUUACUGAUAAGGAAAUUAAAUUCAUCCCCUACCUUUACACCUUUUAAUUAGACUCCUAGUAAAUUGAAUAUAUAUGUCAUGUGUCCGUGUGUAAAAAUACAAAUAUUGCAACUUUUUGUCAUAAUUAGACCCUUAAUUAAAGUGAAUAUAUAUGUGUGCGCACUAAAAAUACAGAUGUAACUUUGAGCACAGUAAUUAUGUUCUCACUUUACAAAAUACAAACUAGGGCAAUAUAGCAUUCUUGUGCACGAACUUCGGAGAAAAUUUAUAGAUAUAUAGUUGAAUUUCAAAUUAUCGAAUAAUAAUACUUCAAUAAUUGCGGGUCUGCUGUACUUGAGAGCUCAUGUAGUAUGAAUCCGAAUCUAACAACUUAACAAGGCUUCAAAAUGGUACCAAUGUUUCAUUAUGAGCUAGUAACAAGGGACCACUGUCCAUAUAUUACUCAAAAAUAGUUUUUGUACCAAAAACUAUGAGCUCCCCGCAAGCUUGCUGUUUCAGGCAAUAGAUGGAAGACACUACAUCGUCACUAAUGAUCAGCAAUCUAACUCUCAAUAUGCAUGUGCAGAGCCUAUUUGGAAGGAUAUAUAUAUGGUGACUGGUAAUCACAUCUCACGACUCAAUUAAUUAUAUAAUAUGCAUACAUAUAAUCGCAACAUGAUAUUAAAUUAUACUAUUAAACAUAAAUGAUUUAUGGAAUAUAUAAUAGUAAUAAUAGCAAUCUAUCCACAGAUCAUGUUUCACUUUGAGAUUCAUUAGGACUCAUAUGAGUUCAUAUAUACUUGGAUUUCUCCUAAAAUAAAUGGUUCGAAAAUUAACUAUUAAAAUUGAUAUAAAAAUUAGUACGCAUAAUGCAAACUAAAUCAUAAUUACUUAAAUUUCAUAAAUAUAUUGCCCACUAAUUCACUAGAUAUUAAUCUAUCUGCCCAAAUCCAUUUCUUGUAAUGUUUCCUCGCAAUUCCUCUCUUCAACGUCUUCUUCAUUCUCGGCUUCUUGAUUUCUCUACUCUUUUUCUUCAUUUUUUUUUUCUCUUUUCCCACACUCGCCUUCUAUCUUCUCUUUUAUUUCUUUUCUGCUUUCUUUUUUUUCCUUCCUCUUUUCUCUUCUUUCUCCCAAUUUCUUUCUUUUCUUUUGACUGUUUUGCCCUCGAUUUCAAAUUGACAAAUAAAGUAGCUAUUGAUAUUUUUCACUUUAUGUAGCCAUUGAAUCCAAGCAAUCAUGUGAGCAAAUUAGUAGGGCUAGCAGGUGCAAUCAAAUGAAGCAGGCAGCUAGGUGCUUGUAAAGCAAUAAGCCAUGUUUUUCCUUAUAUCAAAACCACGCGUGUUACAUUUGAGCCGAUUCCUGGUGCUGAGUUUGGCAAGAAGAACCAAAUCUAAUGCGAUUUGGUUCACUAAAUUUCCAUAUGAACAAAGUUCACUAACUAAUUGUUAAUCAUCAUGUGAUUUCGACAAUAAUCUUGUGAGCAAAGGCAUGUAAACUUUAAUUUGACUCCAUCUCCAUUUCCAUUCUAUUGUGAAUUAGGGGUGGCAAUAAAACCCGCCUAGCCCGCAUCGGAACCGGACCCAGUCUAGGCGGUCAAUAAGACCUAGCCCGUAUUAAGAAAUAAACCAGUUUCGGGUAUUGAUUUUUAAUACCCAGCGCUUUCCGAGCAUGGGUCCCGGCAUUAGCCAAAUAAUCCACAACCCAGAUCUGUGCCUGAUUUUAUUAUUUUAAAUUUAAUAGAUAAGUUUAAAAAAUAAAAUAAAAAGAAAACAUAAAUACUACACUGUAUUUAUAAACUCUAAACUCUCAUAACUUACUCACAAGUCGCCACCCAUCUCCAACUCUCCAAGCCAACAUGCCCAGCAGCCACAACCAAUCGUUGCACUUUACCUCCAACAACCAAUCGCUACACUUUUAAAGUUAAAGUUAGAAGAUUUAGUUUUGGAAAUAGAGUACAGAGCAGUAGAUACGAAGAUGAAGUCUUUUAUAAAAAAAUAAAAAUGUUAAAAAUUAGGUCAACCGUUUAGGUCUUUAGGGUAUUACAAUUGAGGAUUAACAUAUUAUCAUCAUCAUCACCAUUAUUAUUAUUAUUAUUAUUAUUAUUAUUUACAUGGGUUGGAUUGAAUUAGAUGAGUUCAUUGUAAUUCACCCAAUAAAAUCUAAUUAUUAAUUGGGUUUUAAAAAAUUUGACCAAUUAACACAUAAUAAUUCACUAAUUAAACUCGUCAAAAUUAGAUUGGGUUGGACCGGAUCCAUUGGGUUGGAUUGGGUUUACCCACCCUAGUUGGCAUAACAUAUAUAUGCUUAUAAUAUUAGACAUUUAGCUAGGACAGGUUCUCAUUGUAUUGAAGACAACAACAAGAGAAAGGCAAUUUCAAUGAAAAAUCAAACAUCUAUCCAUUUGAAAUUUUUUACUUUUUUUAAUUAUGAUUGAUAAUUAUUCUUGUAUAAAAGCAUUAUUGGCCAUUAUAUUUAUAGGUUUAGCCUGAAAGAAAGAUUUUAAGUAAUGUCAUUGAAGAUUUCGUUGAGUCCAAUGACAUGAUCACACUUCUUAAUUAAGAAUAUAGAAGUAUCAAAAUCUCACAUGGCUUAGACAAGAGAGCACAAGUUGGCUUAUAUAUAAAAAUCAAAUAUAGUGUGGUAACAAGUCUGCCCCAUAGGGAUGACGUGUAUGUGCACAGGCUUGGCCGUGUUUUACAUUUUAGUGCUUUAUUUUAAUUUUUAUGAUUUAUUUUAAUUUUUUAUUUAUUUAUCUAUUUCAAAAGUCAGUUAUAUCACACAAUAGGCAUCCAAAAUUGCUCCCUGUUUCUCUUUAUUUUCUUUGUUUCUUUUCUUCAUCAUUGUACGCUCUGGUGUUCUAAACUAUCAUGUUGAAGUGCAACAUCAUGAUAAUAGUCACUAUACCCUAAAGAUCAAACUACCUUUAUUAGUCUUUCUUCCAACGAGAUGUUGUAUCUUGAAGCAAGAAAUUCGUGCACCGAAAUUUUUGCAUGGUUCACCAAUCAGCCAAUAUACCUCCAUAGCUCCAAGCAAACUGAUCUUGAAUACAUUCCUCUAAAAUAAACUAGUGCUAUAUCUCGAGACUUCAAAAGUUACAAUUGACUUCAAGGUGUCGAGAUAUAUUUAGAAAUCCAAGGUGUACAUACUGCACUUUCUUCAACCAAGUGUUUUCCAACAAUUAUAAUUACUUAAUUAAACAAACAACAAUAAAAAAAAAAUUUAAGCAAGUGAUAGCUUGAGAAUGUAUGAAUUUAUGUGUACGCAAGUGAAAAUUUUUAAAAUUUUGAAAAUAUCAAAUUUUAUCUCAAACAAACCUCAGAAAAUGGUUCGAUUUAUAUAGAAUUAUCAAAAAUUAACCAUUAGAGACGUAAAACACAAAAUUUGCAUGCAGUCGGCCAGUCACUUUGCUUAACUAGCUAGCCACUUGCCAAUAGUUGUCGUUGCGAAAUUUUAAAUAAUCGGCAAGCCACUUUACCUUACAAGAUAGCCGACUUGCCCCUUGGGACUACACCAGUUAGCCAAGUUUCCAUAAACUAGCUAGCUGCUUUAGGCUUUUCCAAUAUUUGAAGUUUUAACCCAAAAUAACAAAAUUAAAGACACUUUAUAAAAAGUUUCUUAUAAGUUCUGAAACAAAGCAAUCAGGUCCUCUCUCUCUCUCGCUCUAUAAAUAUAUAUAUUCAGAAAAUAUCAAUAUUCAAUCGGACCACACACCUUUAAAAAGCUUGCAAUUUAAUAAGUAUACUUUGAAAAAAAUUAUAUUAAUCAAAAUUUUCAUACUUCUAUUUUCUUCAAUUAUUAUAAAAGUAUAUUUCCAUGGAAUCAAAAUUAUAUUCAAGUGGAAACAUUUGAGCUUCUAAAUGCUUAGCUUAUGCAUAAAUUUAACAAAUUAGCUUUACAAAAAUUAUAAAAAUGAAAGAUUGCUUACACUUGUGUUAUUCACAAUUGAGUCUUGACUUAAUGAACAUGUCCCCAAGUGUAUCUCACAUGAAUGACUUUUAACCUUCAAGAAAUUAAAAGUAUUUUUCUCAUAUUACCCUCAACAUGUAUUUUUUUUAUCAUAUAAAAUAAACCCUCUUUGGGUCAGCAGAAACUCAACAUCAUAUCUUAGAUUAGUUUGCAUUUUGUUGGAUAUUGUUUUUACAAUUAAUAGAGAUUUUAUUAAUUACUAUUAUUGUUAUUAUAUAUAUUAAUUUUAUUUUAAGAAAACAAAUAUGAAAAGAAAUAUGAGUUGUCUCUAACCAAGUUAAAAAGUUAUAUGGUAUCCUAAUCUUAAUAAAGCUAUUAUCAUAUGACUAAUCAAGUUAAACAAAUCAAUAUGGUCAUUUUGUUCUAUCCUAUUGCUUAUUAGAUAUUUCACGUCCAUAUUUAUGUAGUACGUAUGCUUUUGUUUAAAAUUUGAAUGGGUCGAAAGGAUAUGUCUGUUUCUCUUUUUUAAAUAUCUGAAUAUAAGCAGUAUCUUAUUUUAUUUUUAUAAAAAAAAUCUUAAACAUGCUUAUUUGAAAUUUAUGUCCUUAUAAAUCAAAAUAGAUAAGAGAUUAGAAUUUAUAAUUUAGGAAAUAAGCAUAUUUAUAAAGAUAUUCUUAAAAUAUAAUAUUUAUUUCUCAUUCAAAUAAAAGUCAUAAAAUUUUAUUUUUUCCUUUGAGAUGUGAAUGUUUGAAAAUCAUAUAUAAGUUAUAAGAAAUAAACAAGUAAAUUUAAAAAAAAAAUCUGAAAUUAAUAUAAUUUUAUAUUUCAGAUGUUUAACAAACAAGCACUAGAUUUUUUACAAGAUUAAGUCAAUGGAUUAGUUUUGUUAUACUCCACGAUUUGGUGUGACAAUAAUUAAUUUUAAAAGCACGGGCGAGGAUGAUAUUAGUCAGAACAACAGGGCGUAAACUGAAACAAUUCGCGCUAUAUAUAAAGGUUUAUAUACUGCCCAAAACAGAGAUGCCGAAAGAAAGUCCUGAAUAUAAUAAUAUUAAGCAAAAUCACUGUCAUAACUUAAGCAAAUUUACCAUGAAAAUUACUUUUAUCUAUCUCUGUGGCAAAUCACAUGAUGGUAUGAACUCAAAUUCAAGGGUUAUCUUUAACAGCAAAUUUACGAUGUGAACAUAAUAUGUGUAGUGCGUGCCACCUGUUCGUUAAAAUGCCUCCGUGAAGUAGUUAUAUGUGUUUUGUUCUUGCUGCAGUUUUAAAGUUGGACAGAACAUCAUUUUUCUGUAAGCAAUGGCUAAUGUAUAUAUAUAUAUAAAGUAGAGGUUUAGUAGUUCAGUAACUUUAUGUUGUAUGCUUUCACUGUUGAAUUAUUGGUUGAUCGUGUGAAGGUUUAGUUUUGUCUAUUAAGUUUUAAGGCAUCGUGCCUUUUCUCUUAUGACGUCAUCAAACCUGGGCAACGCUUUGUGUUUAAAAUAUAUAUAUAUAUAUAAAGUAGAAAGUAGUGUCCUGUAUAUGAGUUUGUAGUAGUAAUGUUUUGGACUGAUAAGUUUGCAUUUCUUGUUGAAGCUAUUUUGCAGUAAAUGAAAUUUGAAGGGGACCUUAAAAAAAAAAAAAGAAAAGAAAAGAACAAUGCACUUCGUGGGUUUGUUGAAAGUCAGUAAAAGAAACGAGAAGCUCGUUCCAGUAGUUUCACUAUUGAAGACUGUUGUGGGUAAACUUAUAUAUCUUUAUUGCAAUUACUGUGUGUUUGUAUUGGACUGUGUAAAUGUCUUGAAUAUGAUAAUGUUUGAGAUCGGUUUAGUCUUUUAUAUCUACUUAGUCAAGUGAGUUAAAGAAUUAGAGUAAAGCUUCUGGGAAUUCUUUCAUGCAUAAUUAAAAAUCCCGAAAAUAGUUGGCUUUAAGUAAUUAAGACAAACUUGGUUGAAUUGUGUUGAACUUCAUAUUAUGUUUCUGUAUUAUCAAAUUAUUUUCUUUCUUCAUAAUGACUUAUUCUGAGAGUCAUUCGGCUGAUAGAUUGGACUGUUCUUAAGUUUCAGUAAGUUUAUAAUCUUUGGUGACAUGAUUAAAUUUUAAUAUGGAACUGUUGCUUUUUGCCUCAACUGAAAGGUAAUAAUUAUUUAUGACAGCAGGAAGAGAUACGAAAAUGGGGCAAGCUUCUGUUGGUCACUCUACUCUUUCAGCAGCUGAUGAUGUUGAUGAUAAGGGAACCCAAAAAAUGGCACUGGCAAAGAACUUAGCCAGUCUUAUUGAAGAAUCUUCUGAUUUUGAUGAGAAAAAACCCAAGAGUCGAAUGGAGCUCAAGAGGUCUUAUGAAUUUCGCAUAAAGAAGAGGGUGAAGGAGCAAUACGUUAAUGGGAAGUUUCAAGACUUAAUGGAAAAAGUGAUUGCCAAUCCAAAAACUCUUCAGGAUUCUUACAAUAGCAUUAUGCUCAACUCAAAUGUUGAUAUAACUGUAAAUAAUAACCGUCUAUCUUUUGAAUCCAUGGCAGAAAAGCUAUAUAAUGGAAAUUUUGAUGUCAAAGCUAAUACCUUCUCCAUCUCAACAAAGGGUGCAAGGAAAGAAGUCCUCGUUCUUCCUAAUCUAAUUUUGAAAGUGGUUCAAGAAGCCAUCAGGAUAGUUCUGGAAAUUAUUUACAGGCCCUUCUUUUCUAAGAUUUCGCACGGUUGUCGAAGUGGUAGGGGCCACUCCACAGCAUUGAGGUACAUUAGCAAAGAGAUCUCUAAUCCUGAUUGGUUGUUUACAUUAAUUUUAGAUAAAAGAGUAGAUGCUUGCAUGCUUGCUGAACUAAUCUCAGUAAUGGAGGACAGGAUAGAAGAUCCUCGGUUAUAUGAUAUUCUCCGGAGGAUGUUUGAUGCCCAGAUACUCAAUUUGGAGUUUGGGGGUUUUCCAAAAGGCCACGGUCUUCCACAAGAAGGAAUAUUGGCCCCUAUACUAAUGAAUAUAUAUCUUGAUCUGUUGGACCGUGAAUUUUAUAGAUUGUCAAUGAGAUAUGAGGCUAUCAAUCCAAAUUUUCAUGUAGGCAGAGAUGGAUCUUAUUCCAAGCUGCGCAGUUGGUUCAGGAGACAGCUAAAAGACAGUGAUCCGAAUCAUAUUGUUGACAGUAAGUCUGGACCAAGAGUUCAUGCUUGCCGUUUCAUGGAUGAGAUGUUUUUCGCUGUUUCUGGAUCUAAAGAAAUUGCUCAAACCUUCAAGUCUGACAUAGUAAAUUACUUGCAGAAUUCUUUACACUUAAAUGUUGAUAAUCGAACAGAAAUAUUUCCUUGUGAGGGGCGUGUUGGAGUUUGCUUUUUAGGCACUUUGGUGAGAAGACAAGUGAAAGAGAGUCCUGCUGUAAAGGCUAUUCACAAGUUAAAGGAUAAGGUCAAGUUGUUUGCUUUACAGAAACGAGAGGCUUGGGAUGCUGGGACGGUUAGAAUUGGGAAGAAGUGGUUGGCUCAUGGUUUGAAGAAGGUUAAAGAAUCUGAGAUCAAGCAUUUAGCCAAUAGUGAUUCUACUUUGUGCCAAAUUUCUAGCUUUCGUAAAGCUGGGAUGCAAACUGACCACUGGUACAAGUUCUUGUUAAAAGUAUGGAUGCAAGACAUUAAAGCCAAGGCAGCAGAAAGUGAGGGAUUAAUCUUAUCUAAGUACAUUGCAGAACCGGCCCUUCCUCAAGAACUGAGAGAAUCCUUUUAUGAAUUUCAGAAGCGUGUGGAUGAGUAUGUUUCUUCUGAAACAGCAGCUGCUCUCUCUCUUUUGCCAAAUUCAUUUUCUUCUGCCAAAUCGGUCACCAUUACUGAAAUUGUUGCUCCUGUCAGUGCUAUAAAAAAGCGUCUGUUUCGGUAUGGAUUGAUUACAUCUGA